RNAcentral lists this long non-coding RNA (2002 nucleotides) under Felis catus (domestic cat). RNAcentral describes it as "lncRNA (ENSFCAG00000051644.1)". Lineage: Eukaryota; Metazoa; Chordata; Mammalia; Carnivora; Felidae. The record is from RNAcentral.
ACUCAUCUCAUAUAGAGAAUUAAUUUUCCUGAAAUGAUAAUUAUGAUAAUGAAGAUAACAAUGAUAGUUUCUGCUAUGUAUACUGAAUCUUCCAAGAUGUCCAAUACAUUCUAUAGGUGAUUUUUUAAUUCUCUCAACCAUCCCAUGAAUUAGGACUUGUUAAUAUCAUCCCCAUUUUAGAGAGGAAGUAGUUUUAACUUAGACAAGGUAAGUAACUUGCCCAAGGUGGUGGAGUUAUGAAGUAACUCUGGUGGUUGGUCUGACAUCAAUUCUUUGGUUUUUACUGCAGUGAUUUACUUACUGGCAUUUACAGCCUCUCCCUUGUUAGCCUAAGUCCUUGGCUGGCACCCAUUCCCCCCCCCCCCCCCCCCCCCCCACACAUUCCCUCUUACUUAUUCACCCCAGUGGCCUCUGUGGCUUCCAAUUAUCCUGACAUUCAAAUCCAUCCACAAACAGCCUCCUCCUCUACAGCCAACCACUUCCCCACAUGAACCCUUCAAUCCAGCUAAAGGAGUCACUUUGUUUUUUGUUUUUUUUUUCCCUCUCCAUGUAGUCUCACCUUUGCUCAAGCAGCUCCCUUCAGCUGCAGUGCCCAUUCCCACCUCCUCACCACCUGUCUACAUUCUGGCUGGGUCAGCUGAAAAGAAAAAUUUCCAAGGAUGGAGAGAAGAUAGGCAGUGGGUGGCUGAGCCCAAGGAAGUAUGAAAGAGCUGACAUCACUCAACAACAAUACUGCGGCUGAUGAGAGUUUGUGUUUCUCCAUGAUGGGACCAGAAGUUCUUCAUCCACUAAAAGGUCAAGGGUGGGUGCAACAGGGAGAUAGACUGUGUUGGUUAUUCUCUGUUUGCUUCUCCCCACCCAUAUCUUGAUUCAUACCAUGCCCUUCACCUUUUGUGCUCUAGGACACUGACCUCUAUGGAUUCCAUUAUCAAGGUUCUUUUGUCCUUUGGCUUCUAGAUCAGUUUGGCCAAAGGAAGGCAGCCAUGGAGUAUUGGAAGAUGGGAGGAGAAAGAGGUUAGAGUAUGUAUUUCCCCUCUCCCACCUUUUCUUGAUCACAGAUUUGGCAGAGGCUCUAUUCUAUGGAUACAGCUUCUAUCAGCAAUUCCUCUUUGAUGGCUCCAUACUGUUUUCAGUCUCUGGAAGCAACAUUCACUAUUCUUGCCUCUUAACUUCUGGAGUAGUAAUGAUUUCCCUCUAUUGCUGGUCCCUGGGUAUUUCCCCAAGCUUUUUGCUCCCCUUAGCUUUCUCCAUAUCUCUUUAAAUAAUACUUUCAUUAAACUCUCAGUUCCAGCAUUUGUGCUUACCAUUUCUUUCCUGCUAGUACAUGGACCGAUACAUCGUAGAAGGAAGGACAAAUUGUGAGGGAUCAGGUGAGGACAGCCAUUGGCAUUGGGAUGCAGCUACAAGUGGUAGGGGAAAUGCAGCUUGGAAGACGGAACACAGAAAAUAGAGAAUAUGGGGACAUAACAGUUAGUAUUCUAGAUGAGCAAUCAGCACUACAGAAUAAUUGCAAGGAGUAGUGAUAUGAAUUUAUGGGCAUGUGCAGUAAGGGAGUGAAGAAUCCAAGAGAAGAUAGUCCUUGGGAGAAUCUGAUGGCCAAAUAGAAUGAGAGAAUCAGAGUUCCCAGACAUCAGGGCUUCAGGUGCCAGAGUUCUUGUCUUUCUUUGGGAGUUGGAAAAUGGACAGAAAAGCUUCAGUGUAGAUGAUUCAGUUCGUAAACAGAUUAUCAAACACUAGUUAAUUUCCUUCACAGGUAUGUUUAUUUGCUCAUUCAUUCAUAAAAUAUUUAUUGAGCUCCUUCUGUAUUGUAGGCUCUGAGCUGGACACCAAGAAUAUAAAAGUGAAUAAGGUACAUUAUCUGAUUUCAUGGGGCUGACGAUCUACCAGAAGGUAAAGAUAUGCAUGAAUGUAAUUUCAGUACACAGUGAUUGGACACCUGUAUCUAGACAUAUACUGCAGUAUAUGAAAUAAAAUACGCAUGAAACUUAACUCUUCUUCUAAA